AUUCACAAGACGUUUACACUAUACACCUAAUUUUUCACUUCACAUGGGGAAAUAAUUACACAUAAUCUGUUACACCUGUAUGUUUUAAUAGAUUUUUAUCCAUGAAUAUGUACACAAUUAUUCUCAAUCCCAGUCUAAUCACAGUCGGAACCUGCUGGCUCUCUUUUAGGAUAAACUGUGUUGUUCAAAGCUGUUGCUUUAAUCAGAGAGAUUACGAUUUGGCCAAUCCGAGGCCCUCUAGAAGGCGUCCAAUAAUGUCAGCAUUUUCACGUCAUUUGAUUGGAUGUUCAGAGAGCAUGCUACUCAGAGCUCGCAAACCGCAUCUGUAGCAAACUGCACAAGCUCAAAAAUAUUUGUGUGGAUGUUCGUUUAAUAGCAAAUUUUUUUUUAUUCUAGAAUGUCUGACAGAGGAAUGAGACUCAAAAAAAAGUGGGACCUCGUGAUGGAAGGUCGGCCUGAACAGUUCAAAACGCACUACAAAGACCAAACCACAUCUAUACAGGCCUCUAAACGACAUGAGCGUUCACCUGCUGGUCAUCUGGCACUUUCCUGACGAGGACUUCUGCAAUUCUUUGUGGUUCUUCUGAGUCAUAAUCCACCUCCCUCUCUCUGAGAACAGUAAUGUCUGCACCAACCCUGAGAGACCACCACAGAAGAUAAUCCAACCAGCAUGCCAUUGUCUUCCACGCCGAUUUGAUACACGGCCUCGCCCCUGCCUUCCUGCAGCCUCCAUUUCAUCUGUGUUGCCAGGUGCUCGAAACGAUACUGCGUAGGGUUCACCAGUUUUAGCUGA
Silurus meridionalis is the source of this 793-nucleotide long non-coding RNA. RefSeq lists it as uncharacterized. The record is from RefSeq and is a predicted model, not a curated record. NCBI's taxonomy places the organism in Eukaryota, Metazoa, Chordata, Actinopteri, Siluriformes, Siluridae. The transcript has 3 exons.